AGAAGGUGGGGAUCGCAUGGGGGGACCUGAUCCAGCCAUGCCGCGUGUGUGAAGAAGGCCUUAUGGUUGUAAAGCACUUUAAGCGAGGAGGAGGCUACUAGUAUUAAUACUACUGGAUAGUGGACGUUACUCGCAGAAUAAGCACCGGCUAACUCUGUGCCAGCAGCCGCGGUAAUACAGAGGGUGCGAGCGUUAAUCGGAUUUACUGGGCGUAAAGCGUGCGUAGGCGGCCAUUUAAGUCAAAUGUGAAAUCCCCGAGCUUAACUUGGGAAUUGCAUUCGAUACUGGAUGGCUAGAGUAUGGGAGAGGAUGGUAGAAUUCCAGGUGUAGCGGUGAAAUGCGUAGAGAUCUGGAGGAAUACCGAUGGCGAAGGCAGCCAUCUGGCCUAAUACUGACGCUGAGGUACGAAAGCAUGGGGAGCAAACAGGAUUAGAUACCCUGGUAGUCCAUGCCGUAAACGAUGUCUACUAGCCGUUGGGGCCUUUGAGGCUUUAGUGGCGCAGCUAACGCGAUAAGUAGACCGCCUGGGGAGUACGGUCGCAAGACUAAAACUCAAAUGAAUUGACGGGGGCCCGCACAAGCGGUGGAGCAUGUGGUUUAAUUCGAUGCAACGCGAAGAACCUUACCUGGCCUUGACAUACUAGAAACUUUCCAGAGAUGGAUUGGUGCCUUCGGGAAUCUAGAUACAGGUGCUGCAUGGCUGUCGUCAGCUCGUGUCGUGAGAUGUUGGGUUAAGUCCCGCAACGAGCGCAACCCUUUUCCUUACUUGCCAGCAUUUCGGAUGGGGAACUUUAAGGGAUACUGCCAGUGACAAACUGGGAGGAAGGCGGGGACGACGUCAAGUCAUCAUGGCCCUUUACGGCCAGGGCUACACACGUGCUACAAUGGGUCGGUACAAAGGGUUGCU
RNAcentral lists this ribosomal RNA (907 nucleotides) under Acinetobacter sp. LZXC2. Its description in RNAcentral is "bacterial SSU rRNA". It matches the Rfam family "Bacterial small subunit ribosomal RNA", at positions 358 to 1251 of the family's 1533-position model. Lineage: Bacteria; Pseudomonadati; Pseudomonadota; Gammaproteobacteria; Moraxellales; Moraxellaceae. The record is from RNAcentral.